Molecule: ribosomal RNA, 465 nt
Filed under: uncultured bacterium
Lineage: Bacteria
Description: bacterial SSU rRNA
Rfam family: Bacterial small subunit ribosomal RNA
Source: RNAcentral
UCGAGAAUCUUCGGCAAUGGGCGAAAGCCUGACCGAGCGAUGCCGCGUGCGGGAUGAAGGCCUUCGGGUUGUAAACCGCUGUCGUAGGGGAGAAAGGGUCGUUGAAGAAACGACUUUGAUCUAUCCUAGGAGGAAGUCCGGGCUAAGUUCGUGCCAGCAGCCGCGGUAACACGAACCGGACAAACGUUAUUCGGAAUUACUGGGCUUAAAGGGUGCGUAGGCGGUGCGGUAAGUGCGGUGUGAAAUCCCACGGCUCAACCGUGGAAUUGCGCUGCAUACUGCCGUGCUAGAGGGAGACAGGGGUAAGCGGAACUGAUGGUGGAGCGGUGAAAUGCGUUGAUAUCAUCAGGAACACCGGUGGCGAAAGCGGCUUACUGGGUCUCUUCUGACGCUGAGAUACGAAAGCUAGGGGAGCGAACGGGAUUAGAUACCCCAGUAGUCCCUGAGCGGGCUGGCAAGGCGCAU